Molecule: ribosomal RNA, 466 nt
Filed under: uncultured bacterium
Lineage: Bacteria
Description: partial 16S ribosomal RNA
Rfam family: Bacterial small subunit ribosomal RNA
Source: RNAcentral
GACGAACGCUGGCGGCGUGCUUAACACAUGCAAGUCGAACGGAAAGGCCCUGCUUUUGUGGGGUGCUCGAGUGGCGAACGGGUGAGUAACACGUGAGUAACCUGCCCUUGACUUUGGGAUAACUUCAGGAAACUGGGGCUAAUACCGGAUAGGAGCUCCUGCUGCAUGGUGGGGGUUGGAAAGUUUCGGCGGUUGGGGAUGGACUCGCGGCUUAUCAGCUUGUUGGUGGGGUAGUGGCUUACCAAGGCUUUGACGGGUAGCCGGCCUGAGAGGGUGACCGGCCACAUUGGGACUGAGAUACGGCCCAGACUCCUACGGGAGGCAGCAGUGGGGAAUAUUGCACAAUGGGCGGAAGCCUGAUGCAGCAACGCCGCGUGCGGGAUGACGGCCUUCGGGUUGUAAACCGCUUUCGCCUGUGACGAAGCGUGAGUGACGGGAAUGGGUAAAGAAGCACCGGCUAACGACG